Molecule: ribosomal RNA, 464 nt
Filed under: uncultured bacterium
Lineage: Bacteria
Description: partial 16S ribosomal RNA
Rfam family: Bacterial small subunit ribosomal RNA
Source: RNAcentral
UUCCAGACUCCUAGGGAGGCAGCAGUGAGGAAUAUUGGUCAAUGGCCGGAAGGCUGAACCAGCCAAGCCGCGUGAAGGACGAAGGUGCCAAGCAUUGUAAACUUCUUUUGUCAAGGGACAAAAUCAGGCUCGAGAGCCUGACCGAGGGUACUUGAAGAAAAAGCAUCGGCUAACUCCGUGCCAGCAGCCGCGGUAAUACGGAGGAUGCGAGCGUUAUCCGGAUUUAUUGGGUUUAAAGGGUGCGCAGGCGGCACGGCAAGCCGGCGGUCAAAUCGCGGGGCGCAACCCCGCCCAGCCGUCGGAACUGCCGGGCUAGAGUGGGCGAGAAGUGCGCGGAAUGCGUGGUGUAGCGGUGAAAUGCAUAGAUAUCACGCAGAACUCCGAUUGCGAAGGCAGCGCACCGGCGCCCUACUGACGCUCAGGCACGAAAGCGUAGGUAUCGAACAGGAUUAGAUACCCCCGUA